RNAcentral lists this ribosomal RNA (332 nucleotides) under uncultured eukaryote. RNAcentral's name for it is "partial 18S ribosomal RNA". It matches the Rfam family "Eukaryotic small subunit ribosomal RNA", at positions 1470 to 1796 of the family's 1831-position model. The record is from RNAcentral.
CCCUUAGAUGUUCUGGGCCGCACGCGCGCUACACUGUUCGACGCAGCGAGUCUUAACCUUGACCGAAAGGUUUGGGUAAUCUUCAGCAAAGUCGAACGUGAUGGGGAUCGAUCAUUGCAAUUAUUGAUCGUGAACGAGGAAUUCCUAGUAAGUGCAAGUCAUCAGCUUGCGCUGAUUACGUCCCUGCCCUUUGUACACACCGCCCGUCGCUACUACCGAUUGAAUGGUUUAGUGAGAUCUCUGGAUUGACGCUGGCUAGGGGGCGACCCUUGGCCAGACUGCUCGAGAAACUGCUCAAACUUGAUCAUUUAGAGGGAGUAAAAGUCGUAACA